GACGAACGCUGGCGGCGUGCUUAACACAUGCAAGUCGAACGGAAAGGCCUGCUUUCCCUUGUGGAUUGCGGGUGCUCGAGUGGCGAACGGGUGAGUAACACGUGAGUAAUCUGCCCCCAACUUGGGUAUAAGCCUGGGAAACUGGGUCUAAUUCCCGAUAAGACUGCAGGGUGUGCCUGUUGUUGGAAAACGAUUUUCUAGUGGUGGGGGAUGAGCUCGCCGCCUAUCAGCUUGUUGGUGGGGUAAUGGCCUACCAAGGCGGCGACGGGUAGCCGGCCUGAGAGGGUGGACGGCCACAUUGGGACUGAGAUACGGCCCAGACUCCUACGGGAGGCAGCAGUGGGGAAUAUUGCACAAUGGGCGGAAGCCUGAUGCAGCGACGCCGCGUGGGGGAUGACGGCCUUCGGGUUGUAAACUCCUUUCGACCGCGAGGAAGCCGCCUGGUUGGAAGGGUGGUGACGGUAGUGGUAGAAGAAGCACCGGCUAACUACGUGCCAGCAGCCGCGGUAAUACGUAGGGUGCGAGCGUUGUCCGGAUUUACUGGGCGUAAAGAGCUCGUAGGUGGCUUGUCGCGUCGUCUGUGAAAGUCUGGGGCUUAACUCCGGGUGUGCAGGCGAUACGGGCUGGCUUGAGUGCUGUAGGGGAGACUGGAAUUCCUGGUGUAGCGGUGGAAUGCGCAGAUAUCAGGAGGAACACCGAUGGCGAAGGCAGGUCUCUGGGCAGUCACUGACGCUGAGGAGCGAAGAGCAUGGGUAGCGACAGGAUUAGAUACCCUGGUAGUCCAUGCUGUAAACGGUGGGCGCUAGGUGUGGGGAACUUUCCAUGGUUUCCGUGUCGUACGUAACGCGUUAAGCGCCCCGCCUGGGGAGUACGGCCGCAAGGCUAAAA
This 888-nucleotide ribosomal RNA is filed under the name Actinomycetales. Its description in RNAcentral is "bacterial SSU rRNA". It matches the Rfam family "Bacterial small subunit ribosomal RNA", at positions 28 to 899 of the family's 1533-position model. The record is from RNAcentral. Lineage: Bacteria; Bacillati; Actinomycetota; Actinomycetes.